Humulus lupulus (European hop) is the source of this 107-nucleotide small nucleolar RNA. The record is from RefSeq and is a predicted model, not a curated record. NCBI's taxonomy places the organism in Eukaryota, Viridiplantae, Streptophyta, Magnoliopsida, Rosales, Cannabaceae.
AUGCCAUGUUGAGGACAUUUUCAAAGCAUCUCCUUAAAUCCAUCCCAUGCCUGAUACAAGUUCUCUAACUCCAUUUGUCUAAAUUGAGUAAUCUCAGCCCUUAGUUG